RNAcentral lists this transfer RNA (81 nucleotides) under Nanobdellota archaeon. RNAcentral describes it as "tRNA-Ser". It matches the Rfam family "tRNA". Rfam says of the family: Transfer RNA (tRNA) molecules are approximately 80 nucleotides in length. Lineage: Archaea; Nanobdellati; Nanobdellota. The record is from RNAcentral.
GCCCACAUCGCAUAGCGGUAUUGCAAUUGGUUGCUAACCAAUGCCCUUCGGGGCUGCCAGGUUCGACUCCUGGUGUGGGCG